GAGUUUGAUCCUGGCUCAGAUUGAACGCUGGCGGCAUGCCUUACACAUGCAAGUCGAACGGCAGCAUGAUCUAGCUUGCUAGAUUGAUGGCGAGUGGCGAACGGGUGAGUAAUACAUCGGAACGUGCCCUGUAGUGGGGGAUAACUAGUCGAAAGAUUAGCUAAUACCGCAUACGACCUGAGGGUGAAAGUGGGGGACCGCAAGGCCUCAUGCUAUAGGAGCGGCCGAUGUCUGAUUAGCUAGUUGGUGGGGUAAAGGCCCACCAAGGCGACGAUCAGUAGCUGGUCUGAGAGGACGAUCAGCCACACUGGGACUGAGACACGGCCCAGACUCCUACGGGAGGCAGCAGUGGGGAAUUUGGACAAUGGGCGAAAGCCUGAUCCAGCAAUGCCGCGUGUGUGAAGAAGGCCUUC
RNAcentral lists this ribosomal RNA (413 nucleotides) under uncultured microorganism. Its description in RNAcentral is "bacterial SSU rRNA". It matches the Rfam family "Bacterial small subunit ribosomal RNA", at positions 9 to 419 of the family's 1533-position model. The record is from RNAcentral.